Potamilus streckersoni is the source of this 77-nucleotide non-coding RNA. The record is from the annotation of a GenBank genome assembly. NCBI's taxonomy places the organism in Eukaryota, Metazoa, Mollusca, Bivalvia, Unionida, Unionidae.
UGUUAUUUCAUGGCCUAGUGGUUAUAGUGUCCGCUUCGGAUGCGGAAGUUCGCGGGUUCGAAACCUGGCGGAGUCAU